Molecule: unclassified non-coding RNA, 93 nt
Filed under: Schizosaccharomyces pombe (fission yeast)
Lineage: Eukaryota; Fungi; Ascomycota; Schizosaccharomycetes; Schizosaccharomycetales; Schizosaccharomycetaceae
Description: non-coding RNA (predicted)
Source: RNAcentral
UAAAAUAAAUCGGCGGAGCCUUCAUCUUUGGUAUCUUGUUUUCUCUUUUUUUGGCUUUUUGUAUAUCUGUGUUUUAGGAAAAAAGAAUCAGUG